CCCGGUCCGGCCUCCGGCAACGCCGUGCCCGCCGCGGCGAGCGGGCUGAGCCGGGUCCUCGCGCCGCGGUCCUCGCUGCCGCCGCCCUCCUCGUCCUGCAGCGGCGGCCGCCCGUCCAGCGAGAUGCUGUAUGGGUUCCUGCCCAGAGUUGCAGCUCUGGAUCUGGGAAGAAUCCUUGAGUGCAGUACCCCAGCCCCACCCCAACAAAAGUGUCAACCAAAUUCACAAUCAACAAUGACAGAUGGAAACACACAUGUGCAAUUGGCCCCAGAGAGAGCUUUAUAUGUAUUGCGCAUGCGCGAGUCAACUUAGCCUUUUAUAGAUAUAGAAUAAACUUGCUUAACUAGACCUGCUUUCUGAUGUAGCUAAACUUUUUCCAGCCCAGUGAAGCACCCCAACUUCUCUUUCAGGUAAUUGUCAGCAACACAGCAGUAAAUAUCAACACGAAGCAGAUUAUUAUUGUAGAUCACGCAGGGAGAACAAAGGAUCAAAUAUUUAACUGCAGCCGUGUUUGACUAUGUUCUGCGCAGUGAGAAAACCUGAAGUCAUUUUCAAGGUCCACCAUUUCUUACUUCUUUUCAGUCAGGUCAAGUUUCUAAGCUUUAUAAAUCUCUGUUUUCUGGCUAAUGAAAAGAAAAUAGGAUUCCACCGAGUCUCCUAUCUACCUACUCCAGGACUUCUGUGAGGAUUAAACAAGAUGAGGCACAGGAAAACGCUUCAUAGACAUUUGAUUAAAGUGAACAUGUUUUUACCUGGCUAUAAAGCUAGUCGUGUCCCUGGGCUGAAGAAACUGCAAGGAGGCUAGUCGUCACUAGGGAGAGGAAGCCAUGCGUUGCUACUUGAUGUCAUUACCCAGACUGACACUUAGCAUAUUAGCCUUUUAUAUGUAUAGGUUUCAGCAUCAACUAUAAUGGAAAUAAUAGAAGCAUUAGAGCAAGAGGAUUUGGGUGUCAAAAAAAAUCUCUUAACCUCUCCACACCAGUUUCCUCUGUGGGUUAUUCUGAGGUACAAAUGAGACUGAACGAGAGGCAUUUAAAAGCCUUAAAGUACUUUUUAAAAAAUGUGUUUUGUUAUUUAAACCAUCCUAAUCUGCUUACUGUAUGAAUUAUUCCAAAUUUAUUUAUUUUUCACCUAGUUACUGAUCAAUCUGGGCAACUUCCAUGGCAUAUCGCCACCUUGCCACAAAAGGGAUAAAAAGAAGAGUGACCUUUAGCCCUGGUGCCCUGGACAGUGAAAAUAGUGGAAAACAGAAGCUCAGGUCACAUUUAAAUAAAAAUGCAAGGCUGACUCGGAUUAAGUGAGCAAUCUAUAAAUGUUAUCAAAAUGUGAAAAAAGGGAGCUCUUUAUUGGAGGUAAAGAGACAGAGGCUGAACGUAAGAUGGUGACAUGCCCCGGUCCCGUGCUAUCCCUGGAUCAUUCCUUCUGUAACCCCUGAGGGUGGCGGUUGGGUCAGCAGGAUGGCUUACUCCUAGGGUCUGAGAGGCCCCUCAGAGAAGGUGAUGUUUGAAUUUGGACUCCAGUUCACAUGUGAGAUCGGGCAUCUCAGGCCAGGCAAUAGCAUUAGGACUCGAUUACAACAGUUCAGGCCUGAGGCAAUGAAACUUGGAAUUGGCAUUGAGAAUGGAAAAAGGGUCAAGUGCGAGAGAUUGAGGAGAAACUGGUUUUCAGAUUUCCAACCUGGGGCGGGGCGGGCAGCUGUAACUUCUGAAAGAACCAACAGGACCCCAGGGAGGGGAGAACAGAGGAGGGGUCAAAUGCUGGCUGGAUUUUGGCAUGAGUUUCCAUACCACCAGACAGUGGCCCAGUGCAAAGGCUAAGAUCUCAUCUUUCUAAACCACAGUGUCCCGCAUCCUUAUGACUAGAAGAGAAGAGGGCUCUGCGUCUGCCAUGGCACAACUCUCCACUGUGGUCACCUCACAGGGGUCACCUCACAGGGCGCACAGCUGCAGUGGCCGAGGACGGGCUCGGGAGCACCCUGGGCUGGCCACACUCACACAGUCCAUUUGCCCUUUGAGACACAAUUCAGAGGGAAAGAGCAUCCUGGCUCCCCGUCAUGACGUCGCAAGAGAAGGCUUCGGAAACAAACCAUCCCCGGGCCAGGCCCAUCCCAGCCUUUCGAGGACCUCUCUGAUGGCAAGUGACAGACAUCCAAGUCAAAGCAGCGCAAGGAGAAUAUACUCUGAGGAUACAGGAGGGUCUCAACCAACACAGCUUCAGGAGUACAGCCGACGCCCAGCAGCUCACAGAGAACUGUGGCCGUGAACCUUGGGGAUCCCCCUUUCUUGUCCACUAACCUUCUCCGGUGCUCAAGUCAUGCUCCAUCAUCUCCCUCUGCUGGGUAGGUUCCUCUGCUUCUCUGGUACAUGAGGCAAGAAAUGUGCCUCAGACAGAUUCCCACCUUUGUAACUUACAGAGACUGGCCCCUCUAGGUUUCUGUUUCAAAUUAACAUGGACCAUCAUUGGCAAAGCUUGUGCAGAGCAGGUCCUGGACCAGUCAGCCUGGAGGGAUCUCAUGCUAACACGUUCACCUCUGGAAGCAGAUGGGUGGGGUGUGUGGAGUGGGCAAUUCCCAGAAGAAAGGAAGUGCUGGGCAGAUAAGACAAUAAAGGGUUGACCCUAGUGGGGCACUUCUUACUGAGGCCUAUUUUCCUUACUUGGAAAAUGGAGAGCCAUACCUGGUGUGGCUCAAUUGGUUGAACGUCAUACCGUGCACCAAAAGCUCACUGGUUCAAUUUCUGGUCAGGGCCUGUGCCCAGGUUGCAGGCUCGAUCUCCAGUUAGGGCUCAGCGGGAGGCAGCCAAUUGAUGUUUCUCUCUUUCUCCCCUUCUACUGUCCUCUUUCUCUAAAAUGAAUAAAAACAUAUCCUAUAUAAUAAAAGCCUAAUAUGCUAAGUGUCUGACCAUUUGACCAGUUGCUAUGAUGCACACUGACCACCAGGGGGCAGAAGCUCCGACU
This is a long non-coding RNA of Myotis daubentonii (Daubenton's bat), 2955 nucleotides long. RefSeq lists it as uncharacterized. NCBI's taxonomy places the organism in Eukaryota, Metazoa, Chordata, Mammalia, Chiroptera, Vespertilionidae. The record is from RefSeq and is a predicted model, not a curated record.